CGUUGGUUCGUUCUACUUCGGUGGAGCGUCGUAAGAGGGAACCCGGUGUAAUUCCGGGACUGUCCCGCAGCGGUAUUGGGGAACAAACCAUCAUCAGCACUGGGUGCUUGCACUCGGGAAGCGAUGGCGCGAAACCCGGCUUUGCCGGAAUGCCCCUAAGUCCGAAGACCUGCCAGCAA
This 179-nucleotide non-coding RNA is filed under the name fish gut metagenome. The record is from RNAcentral.